UACGUAGGGGGCAAGCGUUGUCCGGAUUUAUUGGGCGUAAAGAGCGUGUAGGCGGCCUGGUAGGUCAGCUGUGAAAACUCGAGGCUCAACCUCGAGACGCCGGUUGAAACCAUCAGGCUAGAGUCCGGAAGAGGAGAGUGGAAUUCCCGGUGUAGCGGUGAAAUGCGCAGAUAUCGGGAAGAACACCCGUGGCGAAGGCGGCUCUCUAGGACGGUACUGACGCUGAGACGCGAAAGCGUGGGGAGCGAACAGG
RNAcentral lists this ribosomal RNA (253 nucleotides) under uncultured bacterium. RNAcentral's name for it is "partial 16S ribosomal RNA". It matches the Rfam family "Bacterial small subunit ribosomal RNA", at positions 524 to 776 of the family's 1533-position model. The record is from RNAcentral.